AAUUCCAGGACAUCUCUAAUCCUAUGGAAUCACAAAUCCCUUGGGAAAAAGGGGCUGGGAAAAGGGGGGGGGAACCUCUGGAAUCACAAAUCCCUUGGGAAAAAGGGGCUGGGAAAAGGGGGAUUUAUUCCCUGGGAUGAGGAAGGAGAAUUCCAGGACAUCCCAAAUCCGAUGGAAUCACGAAUCCUUUGGGAAAAGGGGGCUGGGAAAAACCAUCCCAAAUCCUAUGGAAUCAAAAAUCCUUUGGGAAAAGGGGGAUUUAUUCCCUGGGACGAGGAAGGAGAAUUCCAGGACGUCCCAAAUCCGAUGGAAUCACGAAUCCCUUGGGAAGAGCCGGGUUCAUUCCCGGGGGAUCUCCGGGAUGAGGAAGGAGAAUCCCAGGACGUCCCAAAUCCUCUGGAAUCCCAAAUCCUUUGGGAAGAGGCAGGUUCAUUCCCAGGGGGGCUCCGGGAUGAGGAAGGAGAAUCCCAGGACGUCCCAAAUCCUCUGGAAUCCCAAAUCCUUUGGGAAGAGGCAGGUUCAUUCCCAGGGGGGCUCCGGGAUGAGGAAGGAGAAUCCCAGGACGUCGCUGCCCCUUCCCAAAUCCUCUGGAAUCCCAAAUCCCUUGGGAAGAGGUGGGUUUAUACCCAGGGGGGCUCCGGGAUGAGGAAGGAGAAUCCCAGGACGUCCCAAAUCCCGAAUCCCUCGGGAAGAGGCGGAUUCAUUCCCUGGGGGGCUCUGGGACGAGGAAGGAGAAUCCCAGGACAUCCCAAAUCCUCUGGAAUCCCAAAUCCCUUGGGAAGAGGUGGAUUCAUUCCCCGGGAGGUGCCGGGAGGAGGAAGGAGAAUCCCAGGACAUCCCAAAUCCCGAAUCCUUUGGGAAGAGUUGGAUUCAUUCCCUGGGAGGUGCCGGGAUGAGGAAGGAGAAUCCCAGGACGUCCCAAAUCCUCUGGAAUCACAAAUCCUUUGGGAAAAGGGUCUGGGAAAAACCAUCCCAAACCCUCUGGAAUCCCAAAUCCCUUGGGAAGAGGCGGAUU
RNAcentral lists this long non-coding RNA (1015 nucleotides) under Manacus vitellinus (golden-collared manakin). Its description in RNAcentral is "lncRNA (ENSMVIG00005002946.1)". Lineage: Eukaryota; Metazoa; Chordata; Aves; Passeriformes; Pipridae. The record is from RNAcentral.